CCCUACGGGGUGCACCAGGCGAGAGCAAGCCAAAAAGCCGGUUCUCCUUCCUGGAGAAGGCCAAGAGCCUGAUCUUCGAGCAGGAAGUAAUCCUUGAGGAGAAGGAUCUUGAAGAGCCCAUGUGGGCGCUGGAGAUGGCCCUCAUGGAGAGCGAUGUAGCCCUGCCGGUUGCGGAAGAGAUCGUAAGAGAGGUCAAGAGCGACCUUGUGGGAAAGAAGAAGAAGAUCGGCGCAGACACGGGUGCUCUUGCCGAGCAGUCGCUGAGAAAUGCGCGCAUAACGCUUCUCUCCAAGAACCAUCUGGAUUUUGACGAGUAUAUCAAGAGCAGAAAUAAGCCGGUCAAGAUCCUCUUCGUCGGGGUGAACGGCACCGGAAAAACGACCAGCAUCGCCAAGGUGGCCCGGUAUCUGAUGAACCAGAACUACUCCGUGGUCCUGGCGGCGGGAGGGC
RNAcentral lists this ribosomal RNA (450 nucleotides) under uncultured prokaryote. RNAcentral's name for it is "partial 16S ribosomal RNA". The record is from RNAcentral.